UAAAAAUAGUGGAAUAUCAAAAGACAUCUUAAGGUCUUUAAUUAAAUAUUAUUUGAAGGUUUCAAAGGGCCAUAAUAGAUAAAAUAGAACAACUUUAAGAAUAUUAAUAUAUGCAAUGAACCUCCAUUAACCAAUCCUUUCUUUGAACACAUGAACUCUCCAUUUACUCAAUGUAAUAACCGAUUAUCACUAAUAUUUAAACAUGUAAUUAACUAAAUAUUUAUAAUAUUUUAAUCUACCAUUGGAGGCCUUGCUAUUCAUGGGUCCUUUGAUGAUGAAGUUAUACCUUCGGCCUAAGGAGUUGACUCAUGCAAAUGACCAAGGGAAGUCAUUUUUCCCUAGAAGCUGCUCUUACUUGUUUUGCCGUUUUACCGACUUAUAAAAGGUGUCAUUGAUGAAGUUAACUUUUGUGAUUGAACAAAGUUCUGGUUUCGAGGAACAAGAAAAUUUGAGCCUUCCCUAAAGACAUCUAAGAACCAGAAAAAGCUGAGGAUGAAUCAUGAUCAUUCAGGGAACAUUUGACAGCAGUUAUUCUUACCACAAACUGAAGAGGGAAAAUGCCCCUUUUGUCGAGCUAGGCCUGGAAGAAUUACUCAAAGAUGAGACUCAAUUGGUGGCUUACCUUCAAUGUUGGCUCUGCAAAUUUUUGCCUCCCAACAAGAAGCUAAGCUGCUGAUUGUGUUCAUGCUAGUGCCUUUAAAGUUGCAAAAUCGAUGACUUAUGGAUAGAGUUUCUUUGGUGGUUCUAGUCCUUUACGGCCUCAGGGAUAUCCCCAUCUCCUCAAAUUAGGGGCCUACAAUAUGCUACUUUACUUUUUUUAUCACUCUUUUAUAUAUCUAUUUUCACCUAUAUUUGGAUCUAGCUUUCACGCUUACUAGGCAGAAGGCGUCAUGUAUUUUCCUAGCUAUCUAAUAAAAGUUUGAAGAAGGUGAAAGGGCUGGUCCAACAGUUUAUAGAAGUCUUCUUGGUAGUUUGUUGUAUUUGUCAUAACCCGAUCUCAUGUUUGCGGAAAGUUUUAGUCGAGGUUUAUGAAAGCUCCAAGUCAAUUUCAUCUUGGUGUUGCUAAAUGAACAUUAAGAUAUUUCAAAGGACUUCCUUAUUAUGGUAUUUGGUUUAAAAGGGAAGAUCAAUGGCAAAUAAUGGGUUAUUCAGAUGGUGAUUGAGCAGGAAGCUUUGAUGAUGUGAAAAAAACUUUUGGAUAUGCUUUUACACUUUGUCCAGGCACGUUCUGAUGGAAUUCAAAGACUCAAGAGAUGGAGACUUAAUCUUCUGCAAAAGCAGAAUACAUCGCCGAUGCUGGUACAACUUAUUAGGCUCAAUGGUUAAGAAUGAUUCUACAUGAUCUGGAGCAAAAUGACAUUAGAGCUACUGUCAUUAAGGUUGAAAACAAGUCAGCAAUAUCUAUGGCCAAAAAUCAAGUGCAACAUGGCUAUAGCAAGCAUUUAAAUGUGAAGUUUCAUGCUAUCAUGCAAGUAGAAAAGGAUGGAGAAGUACAACUUGCUCAUUGCAGCUCAGAUCAACAGAUUGCGUAAAUCAUGACCAAGUCUCUUUCUAAGGGGAAAUUUGAAGUUCUAAGAAGUUCUAAGGGCUAAGUUGGGAGUUUCCAAGAAAAAUCUCAAGGAGGAUGUUUGAAAAUAAGAUAUUUCUAGAUGAUUUUUGUAUACUAGUUCUUUUUUAAAACAUUAUGUUAAGUGUGUAAAGGAAAGGUAGUCCUUUUUUUUAAGGAAUAUGUUUUGUAAGAGAGUCAAUAGUGGUUAGAUAUGAUGGUCCUCAACAAACUUUGUAAAAGUUUAUGUAGAUAUGUAUUUAUGCAUUUUGAAAUAUGAACAUUAAAUAAAUUACAUGUGUUGAA
This is a non-coding RNA of Solanum lycopersicum (tomato), 1852 nucleotides long. NCBI's taxonomy places the organism in Eukaryota, Viridiplantae, Streptophyta, Magnoliopsida, Solanales, Solanaceae. The record is from RefSeq and is a predicted model, not a curated record.